UCCUCCGUGGCGCAAUUGGCUAGCGCGUUCGGCUGUUAUUGCGAUAGCAGUUGGCGGUACCGGAAGGUUGGUGGUUCGAGCCCACCCGGGGGAG
Non-coding RNA from Piedraia hortae CBS 480.64, 94 nucleotides. The record is from the annotation of a GenBank genome assembly. NCBI's taxonomy places the organism in Eukaryota, Fungi, Ascomycota, Dothideomycetes, Capnodiales, Piedraiaceae.